Molecule: transfer RNA, 87 nt
Filed under: Chloroflexota bacterium
Lineage: Bacteria; Bacillati; Chloroflexota
Description: Chloroflexi bacterium tRNA-Leu
Rfam family: tRNA
About the family: Transfer RNA (tRNA) molecules are approximately 80 nucleotides in length. Their secondary structure includes four short double-helical elements and three loops (D, anti-codon, and T loops). Further hydrogen bonds mediate the characteristic L-shaped molecular structure. tRNAs have two regions of fundamental functional importance: the anti-codon, which is responsible for specific mRNA codon recognition, and the 3' end, to which the tRNAs corresponding amino acid is attached (by aminoacyl-tRNA synthetases). tRNAs cope with the degeneracy of the genetic code in two manners: having more than one tRNA (with a specific anti-codon) for a particular amino acid; and 'wobble' base-pairing, i.e. permitting non-standard base-pairing at the 3rd anti-codon position.
Source: RNAcentral
GGGGCGAUGGCGGAAUUGGCAGACGCAACGGACUUAAAAUCCGUCGGUGGUGACACCUUGUGGGUUCGACCCCCACUCGCCCUACAA